This 122-nucleotide ribosomal RNA is filed under the name uncultured archaeon. RNAcentral describes it as "partial 16S ribosomal RNA". It matches the Rfam family "Archaeal small subunit ribosomal RNA", at positions 332 to 454 of the family's 1478-position model. The record is from RNAcentral.
ACAGCAGGCGCGAAACCUCCGCAAUGCGAGCAAUCGCGACGGGGGGACCCCAAGUGCCACUCUUAACGGGGUGGCUUUUCAUAAGUGUAAAAAGCUUUUGGAAUAAGAGCUGGGCAAGACCG